RNAcentral lists this ribosomal RNA (861 nucleotides) under uncultured archaeon. Its description in RNAcentral is "bacterial SSU rRNA". It matches the Rfam family "Archaeal small subunit ribosomal RNA", at positions 474 to 1337 of the family's 1478-position model. The record is from RNAcentral.
UACCCGCGGCCCGAGUGGUGCUCAUUAUUAUUGAGCCUAAAGCGUCCGUAGCUGGCCGGGCAAAUCUCCGGGUAAAUCGGGCGGCUCAACUGCCCGAAUUCCGGAGACACUGCUCGGCUUGGGAUCGGGAGAGGGUGAAGGUACUCCCUGGGUAGGGGUAAAAUCCUGUAAUCCGGGGGGGACCACCAGUGGCGAAGGCGUUCACCUAGAACGAGUCCGACAGUGAGGGACGAAGCCCUAGGGCGCAAACGGGAUUAGAUACCCCGGUAGUCUAGGGUGUAAACGCUGCAGACUUGGUGUUGGGGGUCCUGCGUGGGCUUCCAGUGCCGGAGCGAAGGUGUUAAGUCUGCCGCUUGGGGAGUACGGUCGCAAGACUGAAACUUAAAGGAAUUGGCGGGAGAGCACCGCAACGGGAGGAGCGUGCGGUUCAAUUGGAUUCAACGCCGGAAAACUCACCGGGGGCGACGGAGGGAUGAAAGCCAGGCCGAAGACCUUGCCCGAUUCUCCGAGAGGUGGUGCAUGGCCGUCGUCAGUUCGUACCGUAAGGCGUUCUGUUAAGUCAGAUAACGAACGAGACCCUCGCCUUCAGUCGCGAUUUCACGAGCGAUCGUGAGAGCACACUGGGGGGAUCGCUGCCGCUAAGGCUGAGGAAGGAGAGGUCUACGGUAGGUCCGUAUGCCCCGAAUCUCCCGGGCAACACGCGCGCUACAAAGGUGGGGACAAUGGGAACCGACCCCGAAAGGGGAAGGCAAUCCUGAAACCCCAUCGUAGUCUGGAUCGAGGGCUGUAACUCGCCCUCGUGAAAAUGGAUUCCGUAGUAAUCGCGGGUCAACAUCCCGCGGUGAAUGUGCCCCUGCUCUU